CAUGUGGAGCGCUUAGAAGUGAGAAUGCCGGUGUGAGUAGCGAAAGACGGGUGAGAAUCCCGUCCACCGAUUGACUAAGGUUUCCAGAGGAAGGCUCGUCCGCUCUGGGUUAGUCGGGUCCUAAGCUGAGGCCGACAGGCGUAGGCGAUGGAUAACAGGUUGAUAUUCCUGUACCACCUAUAAUCGUUUUAAUCGAUGGGGGGACGCAGUAGGAUAGGCGAAGCGUGCGAUUGGAUUGCACGUCUAAGCAGUAAGGCUGAGUAUUAGGCAAAUCCGGUACUCGUUAAGGCUGAGC
This 295-nucleotide ribosomal RNA is filed under the name Staphylococcus aureus. RNAcentral describes it as "partial 23S ribosomal RNA". It matches the Rfam family "Bacterial large subunit ribosomal RNA", at positions 1270 to 1561 of the family's 2925-position model. The record is from RNAcentral. Lineage: Bacteria; Bacillati; Bacillota; Bacilli; Caryophanales; Staphylococcaceae.